AUACGGAAGGUCCGGGCGUUAUCCGGAUUUAUUGGGUUCAAAGGGAGCGCAGGCGGAGAUGCAAGCGUGACGUCAAAUUUCGGGGCUCAACCCCGUCUCGCGUCGCGAACUGCGUCCCUUGGUUGCGGGAAGGGGAGGCGGAACUCGUGGUGUAGCGGUGAAAUGCAUAGAUAUCACGAAGAACUCCGAUCGCGAAGGCAGCCUUCCGGCCCGUCAACGACGCUCAUGCUCGAAGGUGCGGGUAUCAAACAGGAUUAGAUACCCUGGUAGUCCGCACAGUAAACGAUGGACACCCGCGGUUUGGCCUGUAUGGCUGAGCCGCCAAGCGAAAGCGUUAAGUGUCCCACCUGGGGAGUACGCCGGCAACGGUGAAACUCAAAUGAAUUGACGGGG
This 393-nucleotide ribosomal RNA is filed under the name uncultured bacterium. RNAcentral describes it as "partial 16S ribosomal RNA". It matches the Rfam family "Bacterial small subunit ribosomal RNA", at positions 523 to 918 of the family's 1533-position model. The record is from RNAcentral.